Molecule: microRNA, 20 nt
Filed under: Gadus morhua (Atlantic cod)
Lineage: Eukaryota; Metazoa; Chordata; Actinopteri; Gadiformes; Gadidae
Description: gmo-miR-181c-3p
Gene: gmo-miR-181c-3p
Source: miRBase by way of RNAcentral
UUGCCGGACGCUGAAUGUCA